RNAcentral lists this long non-coding RNA (2506 nucleotides) under Homo sapiens (human). RNAcentral's name for it is "HSALNT0277656". The record is from RNAcentral. Lineage: Eukaryota; Metazoa; Chordata; Mammalia; Primates; Hominidae.
CUCUAGACCCAGGCGGGUGAGCACAGUGGGCUUGGCCCAGAGCUGGAGAGGAAAGGCAGGUACAGCCCACCUAGCUCCGUCCUCCACAGCUGCACAGGAGGGCCUGAGAUAGGCAAGGGGAGAGGAUGGCUGGCCACAGUGGUGGAGCAGCAGGACUCCAGAGGGGACAGCAGUAAAGUGGGAGGGACUGAACCCCUUCAGCUCCUGCCCUACGCCCCUGCCAUGCGAGCCUCAGAGGCCCACCCGACCCAGUCAAGACUGCACCUCCCCUCCCAUGCUGCCACAUCACCACUAAGCACACAAUUUCCAUGGUGACCCCUGCCCCCUGGCUGCUGGUGAGGUCGGUGGGUGCCCCUCAUGGUCUGGCUCACUUGCUGUCUCUCCCUCUUUCUCUCCAUCCCUCUUUAUCCCUCCCCUUCUCCCUCCCUCUCUCUAUCUCUCUCAGUCCAAUCUCUGCCCUGCUGCCCUCCAUCUGUCUAUUUCUCUCCUAGACUUCGGCUUCAGACAGAUGUGGUUUCAAAGCUGCAGUCCCGGCCUUCCUGAGCUGUGUGACCUUGGUUACGUCCACGUGCCCAUUGCCUCGCCUGGGCCUCACUUUUCUCAUCUGUAUCAUGGAGUUGGCACCACCGGCUCUGCCCUCAAGGUUUGCCGCGCCUGCAGAGGCCCCUGAGCAUUCAGCAGGUGCUCACUCAGCAGGAGCUGCCAGACGUUGAAUGUGUGAUGGGAAUCAUUGGAUGCUGCCGCCUCUCCGCCCACCCGCCACCUGACACUGCCUCCUGGCUCUCCAUCACUGCCCAGGAGUCGGGCAGCCUCCCCGCUCCCUGCUAUUUCUUCUCUGCACCUGACGCCGCCUCCUGGCUCUCCAUCAUUGCCCAGGAGUCGGGCAGCCUCCCCACUCCCUGCUAUUUCUUCUCUGGAGCUUCCCAGGAGGUUAAUAGCAGCUUCUCACCAGGAUAUUUGGCUUUUUAAGGAAUCUCCUUGCCUCUUUCUUCUCUGUGAGGAUAUUCUCAGGAUGGUUGCGGUGGAGAAGGGAAGGAAGGAGACUCUCGAGGCAUUUGCCAACUAAGGGGGGCACUUAGGGGUAGGUGGGGGGGGCCAGUUCCGGGCAGAACUUGGGGCAGACAGUGCCCUGUUUCCAGAACAGCUCCCAGUGCCGGGCUGGGCUGGGCUUAAAUGCAGUGGGAGAAGCUCAAGGGUGGGGUGGGGUCACAGGCUCCACUUGGAAUGGGCCAGGUCAUUUGACUAUGGGGGCAUUUCUGAGCCUGGUGGGGCCUCAGUCUCCCCUCCUGGAAGGUGGGCCUGAUGAUCCAUGCCAGCCUGUAAAGGAAGGGAAAGAGUUUUGCUGAGCUGCAGAAGGAGGUGCAGACAAGGCGAGGGGCUGGGUGUUGGGGGAGGCCAGCUGAGCGCCCAGGACCCCUCUGGCCCCACCCCAGGUCCUUGGGCUCCAACUGCUCUCAGCCCUGCCCUGAGCUCAGGAAUGGGCCCAGGCCUGAGAAGGAGGUCAAAACUCUGCAGCCCUUCCACUACUACUUCGGGGGGCUCAGCACAGCUCCUCUGGGCUCAGGUCCCCAGGCCUUUCCCUGAUGUAACCCCCCAGUCAGGCCCGCACAGUAGGGGAGGUCCACCUCUUAUGUGUGUGUUUUAAAUUGCGGUAAAAUGUACGUAACAUGAAAUUUACCAUUUUAGCUCUGUAAGCAUACAGGUCCGUGGCAUUCGGUACAUUCACAUUCCUGUGUGGCCAUGACCACCAUCCAUUUCCGGGGCUUCUGCAUGAUCCCGAACAGAAGCUUGCACGCCCUGCGCCACGCCCCCUCCCAUGUCAACCCCCGUAACCGCUGGUCUUCGUCUCUAUGAAUUAAACUAUUCCAGGCACAGCGUCAGUCUCUGGAGCCACGGCUGCAGCUGUGAGGAAGACAGAUGUGCCCGCCCUCCUGGAGUUCCUGAGCUGGGGGUCCUAUGGCAAAAUCCAGCAUGAACGAAAUAAUCAGAUGAUGCCUAAGCACAGGCAGUACCCAGGGCUUUGGGGAAGCCAGGGCCUUGUGAGGGACUGGGGAGCAAGCUGGAUUAAGACUGGGAGUCACGGAGGGCGCCGCUAAGAGGCUGCAGAGCAGAGGGAUAGAUGGAGCCGGCCAGGCAAAGGGCUUCAGGAAGAUCAGCCAGGCAGGGGGAACAGCACGCAACAUGGCCCGGAGGCGCCAAAGAACUCGGUGAGGCUGAGGAACCUGGAGGUCAGGCAGUGUCGGCCAUCGUCAGUGAAGAACAGCCGGGGCAGUGGGGCCAGGACCUGCGCAGGGGCCACCCACUCAGGACUCGGGGCCAAGCCAGGAAAUGAAAAUCGUCAGAGUGGAACUGGGGGACUUACCGUAGGGGAUUGGAAGCAUUAGAAGGGGACAACGAAGGCCGGGCGCGGUGGCUCACGCCUGUAAUCCCAGCACUUUGGGAAAUCCCAGCAAAGAGAUGGUAAAACCCCAUCUCUACUAAAAAUACAAAAAUUAGCUGGGCGUGG